UGUGUGUGUGUGUGUGUGUGUGUGUUGCACAUUUACAAAUCAUAAUUAAGGAAACAUAUUCUGUUCAUUAGAAUUUAGAAAUAUUGGAAAACACAAAUGGGAAAAUUAGAACCUCUUAUGACACUUAAGAGCUAGGGGGACACCACUAGCCAGCUGGUCUGGGGCAUAAACUAGGAUUAUCCUGAACAAACUAGAGUCUCCACACCCCUCACCUAAAACCGUGAGUUACGAUGAGCUGUGAACCACAUGCUGGGGACUUGGCUGCCAUUUUUAUCUCUUGGCAUACAGGCAAGUGUAUUUUUACAUUGUGACCUUUUUUCACUU
Long non-coding RNA from Lontra canadensis (Northern American river otter), 324 nucleotides. RefSeq lists it as uncharacterized. The transcript is spliced from 3 exons. The record is from RefSeq and is a predicted model, not a curated record. NCBI's taxonomy places the organism in Eukaryota, Metazoa, Chordata, Mammalia, Carnivora, Mustelidae.